This 200-nucleotide small RNA is filed under the name Frankia sp. Its description in RNAcentral is "c-di-AMP sequence". It matches the Rfam family "c-di-AMP riboswitch aptamer (ydaO/yuaA leader)". From Rfam's summary of the family: This family represents a conserved RNA structure found upstream of the ydaO and yuaA genes in Bacillus subtilis and related genes in other bacteria. The record is from RNAcentral. Lineage: Bacteria; Bacillati; Actinomycetota; Actinomycetes; Frankiales; Frankiaceae. RNAcentral also lists the same sequence under 1 other name.
CCGGGUGGCACGCCGAAUCCCGCCCCGCCCGGCGCACAUCAGAUCUGAGGGCGGGAGCGGGGGACCCAGAGUUCCCGGGCGUUCUUUCUGGACGUCCUUGGGGUGAAGCCGCCAGCGCUUUGCGGCGCGGAUAUGUGUGCGGCCGGGCGAUUCCCAGCCCGAACCCGACAGCUAACUUCGUAGGCGUGGGGAGGGACAUU